Molecule: ribosomal RNA, 120 nt
Filed under: uncultured bacterium
Lineage: Bacteria
Description: partial 16S ribosomal RNA
Rfam family: Bacterial small subunit ribosomal RNA
Source: RNAcentral
CACGCCGUAAACGAUGAAUACUAGGUGUUGGGGGACAAAGUCCUUCGGUGCCGUCGCAAACGCAAUAAGUAUUCCACCUGGGGAGUACGUUCGCAAGAAUGAAACUCAAAGGAAUUGACG